UGCAGUCGAGGGGUAACAGAGGAGCUUGCUCCUGCUGACGACCGGCGCACGGGUGCGUAACGCGUAUACAAUCUGCCUUGCACUAAGGGAUAGCCCAGAGAAAUUUGGAUUAAUAUCUUAUGGUUUAUAAUUAUGGCAUCAUAUUUAUAAUAAAGGUUACGGUGUAAGAUGAGUAUGCGUCCCAUUAGUUUGUUGGUAAGGUAACGGCUUACCAAGACUACGAUGGGUAGGGGCCCUGAGAGGGGGAUCCCCCACACUGGUACUGAGACACGGACCAGACUCCUACGGGAGGCAGCAGUGAGGAAUAUUGGACAAUGGAGGAGACUCUGAUCCAGCCAUGCCGCGUGCAGGAAGACGGUCCUAUGGAUUGUAAACUGCUUUUAUACAGGAAGAAUAAGGACUACGUGUAGUCUGGUGACGGUACUGUAAGAAUAAGGACCGGCUAACUCCGUGCCAGCAGCCGCGGUAAUACGGAGGGUCCGAGCGUUAUCCGGAAUUAUUGGGUUUAAAGGGUCCGUAGGCGGGCUGUUAAGUCAGGGGUGAAAGUUUGCAGCUCAACUGUAGAAUUGCCUUUGAUACUGACGGUCUUGAAUUAUUGUGAAGUGGUUAGAAUAUGUAGUGUAGCGGUGAAAUGCAUAGAUAUUACAUAGAAUACCGAUUGCGAAGGCAGAUCACUAACAAUUGAUUGACGCUGAUGGACGAAAGCGUGGGUAGCGAACAGGAUUAGAUACCCUGGUAGUCCACGCCGUAAACGAUGGAUACUAGCUGUUUGGAUUUCGAUCUGAGCGGCCAAGCGAAAGUGAUAAGUAUCCCACCUGGGGAGUACGUUCGCAAGAAUGAAACUCAAAGGA
Molecule: ribosomal RNA, 851 nt
Filed under: Cellulophaga sp. AU125C_Ted2_SNAX
Lineage: Bacteria; Pseudomonadati; Bacteroidota; Flavobacteriia; Flavobacteriales; Flavobacteriaceae
Description: bacterial SSU rRNA
Rfam family: Bacterial small subunit ribosomal RNA
Source: RNAcentral